CGCGUAGGCGGUUUGUUAAGUCAGAAGUGAAAGCCCUGGGCUCAACCUGGGAAUUGCUUUUGAUACUGGCAGGCUAGAGUAUGGUAGAGGGUGGUGGAAUUCCAGGUGUAGCGGUGAAAUGCGUAGAGAUCUGGAGGAACAUCAGUGGCGAAGGCGGCCACCUGGACCAAUACUGACGCUGAGGUGCGAAAGCGUGGGUAGCAAACA
Molecule: ribosomal RNA, 207 nt
Filed under: uncultured bacterium
Lineage: Bacteria
Description: partial 16S ribosomal RNA
Rfam family: Bacterial small subunit ribosomal RNA
Source: RNAcentral